This is a long non-coding RNA of Corvus hawaiiensis (hawaiian crow), 750 nucleotides long. RefSeq lists it as uncharacterized. The transcript has 2 exons. Lineage: Eukaryota; Metazoa; Chordata; Aves; Passeriformes; Corvidae. The record is from RefSeq and is a predicted model, not a curated record.
CCCAGCCAUGGAUGAUCCUGGAUGGCAAAGCAUAAGAAGAACCUGAGAAACUAAAGAACACAUAAAAAAUGAUGUGUCUAAUUAGCAUGCACGGCAGAAUGUCCCAAAUAAAUGGAGAAACUGUAUGUCAAACUGCAUAUGCAACUAUCCAAUUGCCUGUGCAGUUAUUCAGACUCUAUUCAAAGGUCUGUGCACACCUCUGCCUGCUAAUCCUUAGCUGGAAUGUAGAUAACAAUAUCAGUAUAUCAUAUGGACUGGGAAUAGAAGAACCAAGACAUCAAGCCACCUGUCCCUGCAAUAUCUCCCACAGAUCUAUGCUCCCCACUCCACUGCCAGUGCUGUGGUCCUCGGCAAGAGUUUCUGCCCUUCGGCUGCUGCAGAAGAUAGCUUGAGGAAAACUCUGAAGGAUGUCUGAUUGCAUUCCAGUUCUUCUCUACCAAAAGAUGUAUCUACUCUUCAACAUAGCUACCGCUCCGGACAGACAUCUUUGCUUCUCCUUGGCUGACUUAGAGAACCGAUUUCUUUUUUCAGACACCUUCUUUAAAAACUUCCUUUCUGUUCAUUUGGGAUUUUGCCAUCUUCUCCAAAAAGGAAACAGGGCCUCAGACCAUUCACUUUCUCUGUCUGCACUCCCUCUUUGCUGAGUAGAUCAGCAUCACUUUUUGUAAUCUUAACAAGAACCACAGUUUUGUCCCUUUCUUCCACAGUUCCCUUCUUCUUCCUGAGACAUUUCAAAUAAAGCUGACAGCU